This 777-nucleotide unclassified non-coding RNA is filed under the name Hevea brasiliensis (rubber tree). Lineage: Eukaryota; Viridiplantae; Streptophyta; Magnoliopsida; Malpighiales; Euphorbiaceae. The record is from RNAcentral.
UGGAGGAUUUGGAAUUUGGCUCGCCAGAAAAAGCAGCUUGAGGGAGAGCAAGCUCGGUGGAUGGCAAAACGCCGUCAAGAACGUGAGAGAGGUCGCAGAGAAGCAGUUGCUGAUAUGUCAGAGGAUCUAUCUGAGGGAGAGAAAGGAGAUAUAGUCACUGACAUGUCAUCUCAUGGUGAAAGUACCAGAGGCCGAUUGCCUAGAAUCAGUUCUGUUGAGACAAUGGAAGCAUGGGUCAGUCAGCAGAGAGGAAAGAAGCUCUAUAUCGUACUUAUAAGUUUACAUGGUUUAAUUCGGGGUGAGAAUAUGGAGCUUGGACGGGAUUCUGAUACUGGUGGUCAGGUGAAGUAUGUUGUUGAACUUGCGAGGGCCUUAGGAUCGAUGCCAGGUGUAUAUCGGGUUGACUUGCUUACUAGACAAGUAUCUUCGCCAGAAGUAGAUUGGAGCUAUGGUGAGCCGACAGAGAUGCUGACGCCAAUAAGUACAGACGGCUUGAUGAGUGAGAUGGGGGAGAGUAGUGGUGCUUAUAUUAUUCGCAUUCCUUUUGGACCAAGAGAGAAAUAUAUUCCAAAAGAACAGCUAUGGCCCUAUAUUCCUGAAUUUGUUGAUGGUGCACUUAACCAUAUUAUUCAAAUGUCCAAAGUUCUUGGUGAGCAAAUUGGUAAUGGCCAUCCUGUGUGGCCUGUUGCCAUACAUGGACAUUAUGCUGAUGCUGGCGACUCAGCUGCUCUCCUGUCGGGUGCUUUAAAUGUACCAAUGCUUUUCACUGGUCACUCA